UAUACGGUUUAUAUAUCUUUGCCC
RNAcentral lists this non-coding RNA (24 nucleotides) under Arabidopsis thaliana (thale cress). The record is from RNAcentral. Lineage: Eukaryota; Viridiplantae; Streptophyta; Magnoliopsida; Brassicales; Brassicaceae.